AUCAGCUUGUUGGUGGGGUAGUGGCCUACCAAGGCGACGACGGGUAGCCGGCCUGAGAGGGCGACCGGCCACACUGGGACUGAGACACGGCCCAGACUCCUACGGGAGGCAGCAGUGGGGAAUAUUGCGCAAUGGGCGGAAGCCUGACGCAGCGACGCCGCGUGGGGGAUGACGGCCUUCGGGUUGUAAACCUCUUUCAGCAGGGACGAAGUUGACGUGUACCUGCAGAAGAAGCGCCGGCUAACUACGUGCCAGCAGCCGCGGUAAUACGUAGGGCGCAAGCGUUGUCCGGAAUUAUUGGGCGUAAAGAGCUCGUAGGUGGCUGGUCGCGUCUGCCGUGAAAGCCCGCAGCUUAACUGCGGGUCUGCGGUGGAUACGGGCCGGCUAGAGGUAGGUAGGGGCAAGCGGAAUUCCUGGUGUAGCGGUGAAAUGCGCAGAUAUCAGGAGGAACACCGGUGGCGAAGGCGGCUUGCUGGGCCUUACCUGACGCUGAGGAGCGAAAGCGUGGGGAGCGAACAGGAUUAGAUACCCUGGUAGUCCACGCUGUAAACGUUGGGCGCUAGGUGUGGGGGUAUUCCACGG
This 582-nucleotide ribosomal RNA is filed under the name bacterium 1c50609. RNAcentral's name for it is "bacterial SSU rRNA". It matches the Rfam family "Bacterial small subunit ribosomal RNA", at positions 240 to 837 of the family's 1533-position model. The record is from RNAcentral.